UCAAAUUUGACAAUGAGCCUGCCGAAGUGAACGAAGCGUAUCUUACGUACACAUAUUUAACGGAGAACGGGCUUACGCAGCCACGUGGGUCGAGACAAUAUUCCGAGGGAGAUGAAAAUUUUUAUGUAGCUCGUAUCGUUCGACCUUAGCGGGAGACGGAAUAAACAAUGAAAAACUGUACCGGGUGAUCAGUUAGAAAGCAUAAAUUGUUCAAAAUAUUCGAAAAAAAUAGAAGUCGCAUGACAUAUCACUUGGUGAAUUGGAAAUCAGGCGUCGACGUUGAUCAGAGUUUGUUAUCAUUUAUUGAUCUUCGAAUAAUAUUUUAUCUCCGUGUUAUGUAGUUUCAGGUAAAAGCAGUUUCGUCAAAGGAUUUGAAAUCGCAAUCGUGAUGCGGGGGACGAUGACGGUGCGAAACGCCGGUAGCGAAUUUGAAUUGGAGAAACUGGUUUUUAGAUUGCACUUUCACCCUGGUAAUGGCGGAAGGAAAAGAAAACGAAGAAAAAUUCUAUCACAUCGCUAAUUGAAGAUCGACAAUCGACCUCAAGACGACAAUCAUCUCGUAUUAGAUAGCAGAUCUUUUUCACUGUUGCCGCAGCCUUUUUCCCUCCUAUGAUUGAAUUACGUAAAUAUAUUUUAUCGUUUACCGCGCACACUAUUUCUCCGGGACAUAAAAACAAUGGACAGGACAAUAUGCCAUCGAUUGAUGUGUACAGCGAAGCAAUUAAAUACGAUCCAAAAAUUCCCAUGUGGAGCAGUAUAAUUAUUGUCUGUAAAAAAAAAAAAAUUGAAGGUACAAAAAGAAAAAACGAAAAAAAAAAAGGAAUAACAGGAAAGAAAAGAAAAAUGAAACACGUUGUAGUGACACGGGCGAAUAUACAUCAUUUAGAAAGUUAAUGAUAUCAAUUUUAUACACCAUCCAUCGUCCGUCAACAAGGUACCUAUAUUUUUACUCGUCAAAACCGAAAACACGUUGAAUAAUUGUCAAAUUGUCAAAUCCCAAUUUCUUCUGGAAUCUGCAUUCUUCCUUCGAUUAACAAUGUCAUUAUCGUGCACGCAUGCGGUCGGUGAUCGGUAUCGUAUGUGCGAUCCGCACGCGUCCGCGAGCGGUCAAACUGGAUCACGAGGGCCGUGCCUGUCGAUCCAAUUCUUUUUUUCUUAUUUCUUUAUUCGCCAUCGGUACGACGCUCGGUACAAGAAAUACAGGAGGAAGGUGUUUCCUUCGCGCGUAGAAGAUGCUGGGUGACCAAAUACCGGCGCUUGGCAUGUUGGCUCGCCGAUGCGAGUAUGAUAAAAAAGGCAAUUGAUUUCGUUUUACUUUCUCCGUUAGGAUAACGGAAGCUGAUCUGUGGACGGUCGCCGUCCAAUUUUGGAGCAUCGUGAAACAAGUCCAAAGAGGAGACCGUCCGUUGUACACAUUCCAUAAUUCCACGUGCUGUAUGGUAUACAUACAUACAUACAUACAUGUGUAUACCCGCGCAUAACGCGUCGAACUCACCGACCGCAGCAUCGACGGUUUUAAUCUUGAAACAAGGUGUACCUGCGGCCUACAGUUCACCGAAAUAUUAUUUAUAAUUUAUUUAAUAUAACUUCGCGACAACCAAAUUUAGACGCGCAGUGAGAGUGGAAUUAUUUAUUAUAUCCUUGACGCAGUCACAGUUUUAUACCUAUAUGUAUAAAUACAUGCGCGUACUCUUACGGUAUAUAAACGGAGAAAUUACGUGCCUUCUUUAUUAUGCCUACAUUUUUCAUAAAAUCUUAUUUUCAAGGUACUAUACAGUACCAUACUAUACUCUGUCACAUGUGUAUACCUGACCAACAAUAAGACUGUUCCAAGAUUAUCAUUAAUAUUUUAACCGCAAUAAUUAUCUACAGAAUUUCUCAACACGUGCAUAACCGUUGGCAAGGCCAAAAACCG
Long non-coding RNA from Athalia rosae (coleseed sawfly), 1915 nucleotides. RefSeq lists it as uncharacterized. Lineage: Eukaryota; Metazoa; Arthropoda; Insecta; Hymenoptera; Athaliidae. The record is from RefSeq and is a predicted model, not a curated record. The transcript is spliced from 3 exons.